AUCUAGCUGAAGAGUUCUAGAAUCGGACGAAAUACAAGUCCUGGAU
This is a non-coding RNA of Schistosoma haematobium, 46 nucleotides long. The record is from Rfam. Lineage: Eukaryota; Metazoa; Platyhelminthes; Trematoda; Strigeidida; Schistosomatidae.